UCAAGAGCAUUGGCUACCACUAUCUAAUCUAGACGUGUCUUGGGCUUCCAUUGGAUUUUAGUCUCUUCUUUUGUUAUACGAAGCCAACUUGUGGAGACAACUGGACAUUUGUGUCAAAAGGUUGAGGUUUUAAAGAAGGCCUUAGCAGAAGCUUUGGUUACAUACUACGCUCUUGCUGGUGAGAUAGUUCCAAACUCCAUGGGUAAACCUGAGAUUCUUUGCAAUAACCGUGGGGUAGACUUCAUUGAAGGUUUUGCAGAUAUAGAACUUCAAAACCUCAACUUGUAUAGAGCUGAUGAGACCAUUGGUUGCAAACUAGUACCGAGGAAGAAGAAUGGCAUCAUGAUGGCUGUUCAGCCCUCCAUUCGGACACGCCAGAAGAUUGAUUUGUGGAUUGGGUUCUACAGUUUUUGUUCGUGGGGUUUGUGAUGCUUAAACUUGGACCAUUUUGGUUUUUGCAUUUUAUUGCUCUUGUAAUAAUGUAACCUGCAUUAGUCUAUUGCAAUAUAUUGCUUAUCUUUCUAAUGGAAGUCUAAAUGGGAUGCUUCCUACAUUUUAA
This is a long non-coding RNA of Quercus robur (English oak), 559 nucleotides long. RefSeq lists it as uncharacterized. The record is from RefSeq and is a predicted model, not a curated record. The transcript has 2 exons. Lineage: Eukaryota; Viridiplantae; Streptophyta; Magnoliopsida; Fagales; Fagaceae.